AAGCGGUGGAGCAUGUGGUUUAAUUCGAAGCUACGCGAAGAACCUUACCAGGUCUUGACAUCUUCUGCCAAUCUUAGAGAUAAGACGUUCCCUUCGGGGACAGAAUGACAGGUGGUGCAUGGUUGUCGUCAGCUCGUGUCGUGAGAUGUUGGGUUAAGUCCCGCAACGAGCGCAACCCUUAUUAUCAGUUGCCAGCAUUCAGUUGGGCACUCUGGUGAGACUGCCGGUGACAAACCGGAGGAAGGUGGGGAUGACGUCAAAUCAUCAUGCCCCUUAUGACCUGGGCUACACACGUGCUACAAUGGACGGUACAACGAGUCGCGAAGUCGUGAGGCUAAGCUAAUCUCUUAAAGCCGUUCUCAGUUCGGAUUGUAGGCUGCAACUCGCCUACAUGAAGUUGGAAUCGCUAGUAAUCGCGGAUCAGCAUGCCGCGGUGAAUACGUUCCCGGGCCUUGUACACACCGCCCGUCACACCAUGAGAGUU
This 484-nucleotide ribosomal RNA is filed under the name Levilactobacillus brevis. RNAcentral describes it as "bacterial SSU rRNA". It matches the Rfam family "Bacterial small subunit ribosomal RNA", at positions 927 to 1412 of the family's 1533-position model. Lineage: Bacteria; Bacillati; Bacillota; Bacilli; Lactobacillales; Lactobacillaceae. The record is from RNAcentral.